This 468-nucleotide ribosomal RNA is filed under the name uncultured bacterium. Its description in RNAcentral is "partial 16S ribosomal RNA". It matches the Rfam family "Bacterial small subunit ribosomal RNA", at positions 28 to 507 of the family's 1533-position model. The record is from RNAcentral.
GACGAACGCUGGCGGCGUGCUUAACACAUGCAAGUCGAACGGAAAGGCCCUGCUUUUGUGGGGUGCUCGAAUGGCGAACGGGUGAAUAACACGUGAGUAACCUGCCCUUGACUUUGGGAUAACUUCAGGAAACUGGGGCUAAUACCGGAUAGGAGCUCCUGCUGCAUGGUGGGGGUUGGAAAGUUUCGGCGGUUGGGGAUGGACUCGCGGCUUAUCAGCUUGUUGGUGGGGUAGUGGCUUACCAAGGCUUUGACGGGUAGCCGGCCUGAGAGGGUGACCGGCCACAUUGGGACUGAGGUACGGCCCAGACUCCUACGGGAGGCAGCAGUGGGGAAUAUUGCACAAUGGGCGGAAGCCUGAUGCAGCAACGCCGCGUGCGGGAUGACGGCCUUCGGGUUGUAAACCGCUUUCGCCUGUGACGAAGCGUGAGUGACGGUAAUGGGUAAAGAAGCACCGGCUAACUACGUG